This 247-nucleotide unclassified non-coding RNA is filed under the name uncultured Powellomyces. RNAcentral's name for it is "sequence contains ITS2". Lineage: Eukaryota; Fungi; Chytridiomycota; Chytridiomycetes; Spizellomycetales; Powellomycetaceae. The record is from RNAcentral.
ACAUUCUCAAAGACACGGUCUGAACCUUCGGGCGAUGCCGUUGCUCUUUCGGAUGUGAGCCCCUUUGCUGCAAGGCAAUGGCUUGAAAAUGAUUGUGUUUGCAACCGGCCUUUCUUGGUUCGGUUCUCUCAAGUGCAACAGAUGUUAGCCCAUUCGUUACCUCUUGAUGAGAAGCGAUUCCGUUGUCCGGAUGAUCUUACACUCAACCAAAAUACACUCUCAGUGAUCCCUGGAUCAUUGUUUGAUA